ACCCACAUGUCUACAUGUUUAUUUUCUGGACUUUGUACCCUGUACUCUAUCACUGGUGAUCACCAAUCAAAAUUUAACAUGACACAAAUGAAAGAAUAUUCUGAAUGGAAAUUACAGGAAGUUGACAUCACAUGGCUACAAUCAAUAUACUUACUUGGUCUUUAGCUGUGAGAGGAAACUGGAGGACCCAGAGAAAACACAUGGAGUUGGACAGACAACCCUACUCCAUGGCACGUACAAGCGGGGAAUGAAACCACACCACUUGACUCAAUGACAGACCAUAUGAUUCGGCCACCAAAUCCCCCUUUCAAGCUCUAAAAGAUAUGGAGAGAAAUGAAUCCUGGAAGGUAAGGACUCCAAAAUAGCCUUAUAUCAAAUGUGGGCUAGAGCGAUACUUUCAUACUGCACAGCUUAAUACUCAGUCACUUAUUAAUAUUGUCAACAUUAUUCACAACACCGAUUAUAUCUCAACCCUGGCUUGAU
Molecule: long non-coding RNA, 483 nt
Organism: Patella vulgata (common limpet)
Lineage: Eukaryota; Metazoa; Mollusca; Gastropoda; Patellidae
Exons: 3
Source: RefSeq, a predicted model, not a curated record